AUGCUGCUGGCCAUGACGACGGGGAUAGGCACCAGCUUCUACUCCUGCUGCUACCGUGCCAAGCUGCGGGAGGAGCACGGGCUCGCGGAGAAGCCCUGCGGCGACUGCUGCGUCCACUUCUUCUGCGGCCUCUGCGGCCUCUCCCAGGAGUACCACGAGCUCAAGAACCGCGGCUUCGACAUGAGCGCGGGAUGGGAAGCCAAUGCGGAGAGGAUGGGGAAGACCGCCGCGCCCUAUGUGAACUCCGGGAUGACUCGUUAG
RNAcentral lists this ribosomal RNA (261 nucleotides) under Triticum aestivum (bread wheat). RNAcentral's name for it is "partial small subunit ribosomal RNA". The record is from RNAcentral. Lineage: Eukaryota; Viridiplantae; Streptophyta; Magnoliopsida; Poales; Poaceae.